RNAcentral lists this transfer RNA (78 nucleotides) under Candidatus Liptonbacteria bacterium RIFCSPLOWO2_12_FULL_60_15. Its description in RNAcentral is "tRNA-Arg". It matches the Rfam family "tRNA". From Rfam's summary of the family: Transfer RNA (tRNA) molecules are approximately 80 nucleotides in length. Lineage: Bacteria; Candidatus Liptoniibacteriota. The record is from RNAcentral.
GCCCUCGUAGCACAAAUGGAUAAGUGCAACUCGGUUCUAACGAGGAGGUUGCGGGUUCGAACCCCGCCGAGGGCACAA